UACGUAGGGGGCAAGCGUUGUCCGGAUUUACUGGGCGUAAAGGGCGCGUAGGCGGCGUGACAAGUCACUUGUGAAAUCUCCGGGCUUAACUCGGAACGGUCAAGUGAUACUGUCGUGCUAGAGUCCGGAAGAGGCGAGUGGAAUUCCCGGUGUAGCGGUGAAAUGCGCAGAUAUCGGGAGGAACACCAAUGGCGAAGGCAGCUCGCUGGGACGGUACUGGACGCUGAGACGCGAAAGCGUGGGGAGCAAAGCAGG
RNAcentral lists this ribosomal RNA (255 nucleotides) under uncultured bacterium. Its description in RNAcentral is "partial 16S ribosomal RNA". It matches the Rfam family "Bacterial small subunit ribosomal RNA", at positions 524 to 777 of the family's 1533-position model. The record is from RNAcentral.